This 664-nucleotide ribosomal RNA is filed under the name Gymnosporangium cornutum. Its description in RNAcentral is "partial 28S ribosomal RNA". It matches the Rfam family "Eukaryotic large subunit ribosomal RNA", at positions 29 to 674 of the family's 3401-position model. The record is from RNAcentral. Lineage: Eukaryota; Fungi; Basidiomycota; Pucciniomycetes; Pucciniales; Gymnosporangiaceae.
UGGAAACUAAGCAUAUCAAUAAGCGGAGGAAAAGAAACUAACAAGGAUUCCCCUAGUAACGGCGAGUGAAGAGGGAUCAGCCCAAAUUUGUAAUCUGGCUCUUUCAGAGUCUGAGUUGUAAUUUUGAGAACUGUUUUCUGCUCUGGACCAUGUACAAGUCUGUUGAAAUGCAGCAUCAUUGAGGGUGAGAAUCCUGUUCAUGAUAUGGACUACCAGGGCUUUAUGAUACAGUCUCUAAGAGUCGAGUUGUUUGGGAAUGCAGCUCAAAGUGGGUGGUAAAUUCCAUCUAAGGCUAAAUAUUGGUGAGAGACCGAUAGCAAACAAGUACCGUGAGGGAAAGAUGAAAAGAACUUUGGAAAGAGAGUUAACAGUACGUGAAAUUGUUAAAAGGGAAACAGUUGAAGUUAGACUUGUUGUUGUUGGUUCAGCUCUUUAAGGGUGUUUUCUGAUGAUUAACAAACCAACAUCAAUCUCUGGGUGUUGGAUAAGGGUCAUUGAAAUGUAGCAGUUUUGGCUGUGUUAUAGUCUUUGACUUGGAUACAGUGCCUGGGAUUGAGGAUUGCAGUAAGCCCCUAUUUGGGGUGGGACAAUUUAUUGUUCUUCUUACUGAGGAUGUUGGUGCAAUAGCUUUAAUUGACCCGUCUUGAAACACGGACCAAGGAGA